Molecule: ribosomal RNA, 465 nt
Filed under: uncultured bacterium
Lineage: Bacteria
Description: partial 16S ribosomal RNA
Rfam family: Bacterial small subunit ribosomal RNA (bases 50-465)
Source: RNAcentral
GGGGGGGGGGGGGGGGGGGGGGGGGGGGGGGAGGUCGGGGGGGGAGGGCGCGUUGGGGGGGCGCGAGUGGCGAACGGGUGAGUAACACGUGAGUAACCGGCCCUUGACUUCGGGAUAACUUCAGGAAACUGGGGCUAAUACCGGAGAGGAAUCCUUGCUGCAUGGUGGGGGUUGGAAAGCUUCGGCGGUUUUGGAUGGACUCGCGGCUUAUCAGCUUGUUGGUGGGGUAGUGGCUUACCAAGGCUUUGACGGGUAGCCGGCCUGAGAGGGCGACCGGCCACAUUGGGACUGAGAUACGGCCCAGACUCCUACGGGAGGCAGCAGUGGGGAAUAUUGCACGAUGGGCGGCAGCCUGAUGCAGCAACGCCGCGUGCGGGAUGACGGCCUUCGGGUUGUAAACCGCUUUCAGCAGGGGCGAAGCUUGUGGUGACGGUACCUGCAGAAGAAGCACCGGCUAACUACGUG